This 266-nucleotide ribosomal RNA is filed under the name uncultured bacterium. RNAcentral describes it as "partial 16S ribosomal RNA". It matches the Rfam family "Bacterial small subunit ribosomal RNA", at positions 336 to 619 of the family's 1533-position model. The record is from RNAcentral.
UUCCUACGGGGGGCAGCAGUGGGGAAUAUUGCACAAUGGGGGGAACCCUGAUGCAGCGACGCCGCGUGAGUGAAGAAGUAUUUCGGUAUGUAAAGCUCUAUCAGCAGGGAAGAAAAUGACGGUACCUGACUAAGAAGCCCCGGCUAACUACGUGCCAGCAGCCGCGGUAAUACGUAGGGGGCAAGCGUUAUCCGGAUUUACUGGGUGUAAAGGGAGCGUAGACGGCCAUGCAAGCCUGGAGUGAAAGCCCGGGGCCCAACCCCGGG